UGGGGAAUCUUGGACAAUGGGGGCAACCCUGAUCCAGCCAUGCCGCGUGUGUGAAGAAGGCCCUAGGGUUGUAAAGCACUUUCAGUAGGGAGGAAGGCUUAUCCUUAAUACGGAUGAGUACUUGACGUUACCUACAGAAGAAGCACCGGCUAAUUUCGUGCCAGCAGCCGCGGUAAUACGAAAGGUGCGAGCGUUAAUCGGAAUUACUGGGCGUAAAGCGCGCGUAGGCGGUUUGUUAAGUCAGAUGUGAAAGCCCCGGGCUCAACCUGGGAAUUGCAUUUGAAACUGGCAAGCUAGAGUGCAGUAGAGGGAGGUGGAAUUUCCGGUGUAGCGGUGAAAUGCGUAGAGAU
Molecule: ribosomal RNA, 350 nt
Filed under: uncultured bacterium
Lineage: Bacteria
Description: bacterial SSU rRNA
Rfam family: Bacterial small subunit ribosomal RNA
Source: RNAcentral